This 781-nucleotide long non-coding RNA is filed under the name Sinocyclocheilus grahami. RNAcentral describes it as "lncRNA (ENSSGRG00000051487.1)". Lineage: Eukaryota; Metazoa; Chordata; Actinopteri; Cypriniformes; Cyprinidae. The record is from RNAcentral.
CCUUACCUUCUUAUUGGGUCUCACCUGGUCUGUGGCUUUUCUCGCUUGGGGUCCUGUUAAAGUGUUCCUCCUCUACCUGUUCUCCAUACUGAACAGUCUUCAAGGUUUCUUUAUUUUUGUGUUCCAUUGUCUCAUGAAGGAAAACGUACGCAAGCAAUGGAGAAUACAUUUAUGUUGUGGAGCUUUCAAGCUGCAGGAAUACUCUGAAUGGAGCCAAACUGCAACUGUGGUUCCCAAACACAAACCCAAUCCACCAAAUAUGUUUCCUUUCAUGGCAUCUGUGAGAUCCAUCAAGUCUAAUUCAACUCAGAGCUCAACGGUUUCCUUAGAGUCCAGUCAACAUCAAAUGACUAUCACAAGACCCGACCUUGGAUUUGUAUAUGAAAACAGUUUGGUAAUACCAAGAGCCAGAACAGGAUAGAUGGUUCUUCCAUAUGAUACAUCUCCUGCCACAGCAAGUGGGCUUGAGUUUCCUUCAAGGCCAUGGAAGAAUGGAUUUGACACAGAUAUCUACCCAACAUAACUUGACUGUUUUUGUUUGUUGCUCUGUACUGAAGCACACAUUUUUCUGGUAACUUUCCAUUUUAAAAUGCCACUCUUAAAAAAUGAGUGAAUAAACAUGUAGAAAACUGAUUCCUCAGAUCAUAUUACAUUAUACCCUAACAUUGUUUCAUGAAAUAAUAGUAUAAUCAAGAAAAGGUAUGUUGAACCUUAAACAAAAAUGAUAUAAAUCUGACUUGAUUGGGAGUUACUAUACUAGUAGCCUAUGCACCUAUUCCUG